This 260-nucleotide ribosomal RNA is filed under the name Leptolyngbya thermalis KUAC 3910d. RNAcentral's name for it is "partial 16S ribosomal RNA". It matches the Rfam family "Bacterial small subunit ribosomal RNA", at positions 362 to 637 of the family's 1533-position model. The record is from RNAcentral. Lineage: Bacteria; Bacillati; Cyanobacteriota; Cyanophyceae; Leptolyngbyales; Leptolyngbyaceae.
UUUUCCGCAAUGGGGGCAACCCUGACGGAGCAACGCCGCGUGGGGGAGGAAUGUCUGUGGAUUGUAAACCCCUUUUCUCAGGGAAGAAGAUCUGACGGUACCUGAGGAAUCAGCAUCGGCUAACUCCGUGCCAGCAGCCGCGGUAAGACGGAGGAUGCAAGCGUUAUCCGGAAUUAUUGGGCGUAAAGCGUCCGUAGGCGGUUUAUCAAGUCUGCCGUUAAAGACUGCAGCUUAACUGUGGGCGAGCGGUGGAAACUGAG